Molecule: long non-coding RNA, 1448 nt
Filed under: Bos indicus x Bos taurus (hybrid cattle)
Lineage: Eukaryota; Metazoa; Chordata; Mammalia; Artiodactyla; Bovidae
Description: lncRNA (ENSBIXG00000020080.1)
Source: RNAcentral
GUUUUUAAGCAUUAUCAAGUGUGUCCAAAGCGUUCAAAUUUGUUUUCAUAGAUUCAGUAACUUUUUGGAUUAAUUUGAUUGGUUUAUAUGAAAUUUAUUAUGUAAUUGAAACUGCAAUACACUGGUCAUAUACAAGCUUUCAAGCAAAGAUAGCUGAAGCUUAUUAAAGAUUAUUUCUGCUCAUGGGGGACAGAAAUGCCCAGGUGUACUGAGUAUGGCAUACGUGCUUUGCAUCUCCCAGCUAUCAAGUUAGUAACUCUUGUUUGGAAUUGAGAUGGUCAUUUAAUCCUUUCACAGACGUAGCUUGGUGUGACAUAGUUAAGUGGACAAAGAUAGGAGAGCAACUCCUGUUCUGUGGUGUCCCCAGUACGGUGCAUUAACUCUCUAUACCAGUCAGAGCCAAAAAAUUUCCUGAUGAACGUAACUUUUGUUUUGAAACCCAGACUGUAUUAGCUCAGAGGAAAAUAGGAGUAGUCACAUUAUACUUUCCUUAAACUGAAAUGCACGUGAUAUGAUUCUAGACUGUUCAUACUGGCAACCCUUGGUCAUUCCUGUUUAAAAUGUGUUGCCUGGAACAGUUUGCUUUGAUGGGUGCAGCAUAUGGUCCCUUUCACAUGCUUUCCCUGAUCCCAUGUCAUUCCUAUGCCAGGUGAACUGGUCCUUCAUCUUAUGCCUAUAAAUUUUGUUCAUAACCAGUAAUGCUAAUCACAUAGUUACUCAUCUCUUCCUGUGAUGUGGGUUCAGAUCUGUAUGUGUAAUCAGUUAUGUUUUAUGUUUUGCUGGGUCUGCCAUGAUAUCACAGAUGUAUGGAUGGCUGAAAAAACCAGAAAUUUACUUUCUUACAGUUCAGGAGGCCAGACAGCAAAGAUCAAGCUGUUGGCAGAUUGGUUACUUCUGUGGCACCUCUCCUUGGCAUGUAGAUAUCUGACCUUUGGCUGUGUUUUCACAAGGUCAUCUACUGCCCAUAGUUCUUCAUUUUUGUAUAUGAUUCUAGAAAAGAAACCUUGUGGCCUAUACGGGCCAAGGGGAGAUGAGCCUUUCCCUGGGGGUGGAGGAAAAUGAUCAGGAUCAUGAGGAUGACGACAAAGGCUGAGAGGAAGAGGAAGGUCAGAAAGACUGAAACCACAUUGCAGGUGGAUUCUUUACCAGGUGAGCCACCAGGGAAGAUCCUGGUAUGGACUGCAGCAUACCAGGGUUCCCUGUUCUUCACUGUCCCCCAGAGUUUGCUCAAAUUCAUGCCCAUUGAGUCGGUGAUGCUGUCUAACCAUCUCACCCUCUGUCACCCUCUUCUUCUUUUGCUUUCAGUCUUUCCCAGCAUCAUACCAUAGCCUGGAUCCGCUCCCAUGGCUCGGACCACAGAGAGUUCUGUGCUUUAUUUGAUGAGUUAGAUGCCCAAUAUGGAAGUGUGUUCUGCUCCACAGGACUGAAGUGGCUGAGUCGUGGUGUAG